This 784-nucleotide ribosomal RNA is filed under the name uncultured bacterium. RNAcentral describes it as "bacterial SSU rRNA". It matches the Rfam family "Bacterial small subunit ribosomal RNA", at positions 89 to 859 of the family's 1533-position model. The record is from RNAcentral.
GGAUGAGUGGCGAACGGGUGAGUAACACGUGGGAAAUCUGCCUAGGAGUGGGGGAUAACAUUCGGAAACGGAUGCUAAUACCGCAUAUCUUCAUAGACCGCAUGGUCUAUGAAUGAAAGACGGCUUUGCUGUCGCUCUUAGAUGAUCCCGCGGCGUAUUAGUUAGUUGGUGGGGUAAAGGCCUACCAAGACAAUGAUACGUAGCCGACCUGAGAGGGUGAUCGGCCACACUGGGACUGAGACACGGCCCAGACUCCUACGGGAGGCAGCAGUAGGGAAUCUUCCACAAUGGGUGCAAACCUGAUGGAGCAAUGCCGCGUGAAUGAAGAAGGUCUUCGGAUCGUAAAGUUCUGUUAUUAGAGAAGAACAAGUCAAGGAGUAACUGUCUUGACUUUGACGGUACCUAACCAGAAAGUCACGGCUAACUACGUGCCAGCAGCCGCGGUAAUACGUAGGUGACGAGCGUUGUCCGGAAUUAUUGGGCGUAAAGGGAGCGCAGGCGGUUGGAAUAGUCUGAUGUGAAAGCCCACGGCUUAACCGUGGAAGGUCAUUGGAAACUGUCCAACUUGAAUGCAGAAGAGGUAAGUGGAAUUCCAUGUGUAGCGGUGAAAUGCGUAGAUAUAUGGAGGAACACCAGUGGCGAAGGCGACUUUCUGGUCUGUAAUUGACGCUGAGGCUCGAAAGCGUGGGUAGCGAACAGGAUUAGAUACCCUGGUAGUCCACGCCGUAAACGAUGAGUGCUAAGUGUUAGGGGGUUUCCGCCCCUUAGUGCUGGAGUUAACGCA